RNAcentral lists this long non-coding RNA (34940 nucleotides) under Prunus persica (peach). The record is from RNAcentral. Lineage: Eukaryota; Viridiplantae; Streptophyta; Magnoliopsida; Rosales; Rosaceae.
GCUAGUAAUGUAUUAUGCACGUACGUAUGUAUUUCUCAUGACUCAUUUUUUUCCAAGAAUUUCAGUAAGACACAAAAUUCACGUAUUAUACACAUAAUUCUAACAUAUUAUUGAAAAAAUCAUAAUGUGUAUUUAAAAAAAUCUCAGUUUUUCCCUAAAAUAGUAUAGCCGUGCGGCUAUACUCGUGUUUUCAAAAUUUUUAACUAAAAAUAGUACAGCCGCCCGUCGGUACCUGUUUGACACGUGGCGCAUGGGCGCUGGGCAGUUGUAUAAAGCGUAUAGCCGCCCGGCUGUACUGGAUGAAUUCUGAAUUUUCUUUAAAAAUAGUAUAGCCGUGCGGCUAUACUCGCCAAAUUUAUUUUUUUAAAUAGUACAGCUCUGACACGUGGCACCUGUGCGUCCUUUUUUUAAUAUAUAAAUAGUAUAGCCGCACGCCUAUACUAUUUGAAAAGAAAAUUUAAUCCGGGAAUUUUUUUCUAAAAUUUUUAAAUAUAAAAGAAUUUGUUUCUUUACCUUUGUUUUUGGCCUACUUCUUUAAUUAAAUAUAUGUAAUUGAGCAAUAUCUUAGCCUUUUUGAAUUACUUUAAUUGGUACUUAUGUUUUAAUUAUUAUUUAAUAUAAGAAAUUAAAGAAAAAGUCCACAAAAUAAUUAAUUUAUGGGUGUUUUAAUUAAAUUUCUCCAUAGCCCAAGAGCCCUAUCCGUUAGUAUUAGCCCAUUACUCGAGUAUCUUUUGAGCCCUUUUUUAUUUUUUACUUUUCCAAAGUUAUUACUCGUAUAAAGAUUUUAUCCCUUUCACGUUUAAUAAUGUAUUAUGCACGUACGUAUGUAUUCUCAUGACUCAUUUUUUUUACAAGAAUUUCAAUAAGACACAAAAGUCCCGUAUUUAUAAUUCAACUAAAUUAUAAAAAAAAUCAUAAUAUGUAUACAAAAAAAUUCUCAGUUUUCCCUUAUAUAGUAUAACCGUGCAGGCCAUAGUAGUGUUCCAAUAAAUUUUAACUAAAAUAGUACAGAAACGUGUCUGUACCUGUUUGACACGUGGCGCAUGUGCGCUGGGCAGGUAGAUCAAGUGUAUAGCCGCCCGACUGGCCCGGAUUAAUUAUGAAUUUUCUUUAUAAAAUAUUAUAGCCGAGCGGCUAUACUCGCCACAUUAAUUUUUUUAAAAUAAUACAGCUUUUACCGUGGCACCUGUUCGAUCUUUUUUUUAUAUAUAAAUAGUAUAGCCGCACGGCUAUACUAUUUGAAAAGAAAAUUUAAUCUGGGAAUUUUUUUCUAAAAUUUUUAAAUAUAAAAGAAUUUGUUUCUUUACCUUUGUUUUUUGGCCUACUUCUUUAAUUAAAUAUAUGUAAUUGAGCAAUAUCUUAGCCUUUUUGAAUUACUUUAAUUGGUACUUAUAUUUUAAUUAUUAUUUAAUAUAAGAAAUUAAAGAAAAAGUCCACAAAAUAAUUAAUUUAUGGGUGUUUUAAUUAAAUUUCUCCAUAGCCCAAGAGCCCUAUCCGUUAGUAUUAGCCCAUUACUCGAGUAUCUUUUGAGCCCUUUUUUAUUUUUUACUUUUCCAAAGUUAUUACUCGUAUAAAGAUUUUAUCCCUUUCACGUUUAAUAAUGUAUUAUGCACGUACGUAUGUAUUUCUCAUGACUCAUUUUUUUACAAGAAUUUCAAUAAGACACAAAAUUCACGUAUUAUACACAUAAUUCCAACAUAUUAUUGAAAAAAUCAUAAUAUGUAUUUAAAAAAAUCUCAGUUUUUCCUUAAAAUAGUAUCGCCGUGCGGCUAUACUCGUGUUUUCAAAAAUUUUAACUAAAAAUAGUACAGCCGCCCGUCUGUACCUGUUUGACACGUGGCGCAUGGGCGCUGGGCAGUUGUAUAAAGAGUAUAGCCGCCCGGCUGUACUGGAUUAAUUCUGAAUUUUCUUUAAAAAAUAGUAUAGCCGUGCGGCUAUACUCGCCAAAUUUAUUUUUUUAAAUAGUACAGCUCUGACACGUGGCACCUGUGCGUCCUUUUUUUAAUAUAUAAAUAGUAUAGCCGCACGCCUAUACUAUUUGAAAAGAAAAUUUAAUCCGGGAAUUUUUUUCUAAAAUUUUUAAAUAUAAAAGAAUUUGUUUCUUUACCUUUGUUUUUGGCCUACUUCUUUAAUUAAAUAUAUGUAAUUGAGCAAUAUCUUAGCCUUUUUGAAUUACUUUAAUUGGUACUUAUGUUUUAAUUAUUAUUUAAUAUAAGAAAUUAAAGAAAAAGUCCACAAAAUAAUUAAUUUAUGGGUGUUUUAAUUAAAUUUCUCCAUAGCCCAAGAGCCCUAUCCGUUAGUAUUAGCCCAUUACUCGAGUAUCUUUUGAGCCCUUUUUUAUUUUUUACUUUUCCAAAGUUAUUACUCGUAUAAAGAUUUUAUCCCUUUCACGUUUAAUAAUGUAUUAUGCACGUACGUAUGUAUUUCUCAUGACUCAUUUUUUUUACAAGAAUUUCAAUAAGACACAAAAGUCACGUAUUAUACACAUAAUUCCAACAUAUUAUUGAAAAAAUCAUAAUAUGUAUUUAAAAAAAUCUCAGUUUUUCCCUAAAAUAGUAUAGCCGUGCGGCUAUUCGCGUGUUUUCAAAAAUUUUAACUAAAAAUAGUAGAGCCGCCCGUCUGUACCUGUUUGACACGUGGCGCAUGGGCGCUGGGCAGUUGUAUAAAGAGUAUAGCCGCCCGGCUGUACUGGAUUAAUUCUGAAUUUUCUUUAAAAAAUAGUAUAGCUGUGCGGCUAUACUCGCCACAUUUAUUUUUUUAAAUAGUACAGCUCUGACACGUGGCACCUGUGCGACCAUUUUUUAAUAUAUAAAUUAGUAUAGCCGCACGGCUAUACUUAUUUGAAAAGAAAUUUAUUCUGGAAAUUUUUUCCUAAAAUUUUUAAAUAUAAAAGAAUUUGUUUCUUUNNNNNNNNNNNNNNNNNNNNNNNNNNNNNNNNNNNNNNNNNNNNNNNNNNNNNNNNNNNNNNNNNNNNNNNNNNNNNNNNNNNNNNNNNNNNNNNNNNNNNNNNNNNNNNNNNNNNNNNNNNNNNNNNNNNNNNNNNNNNNNNNNNNNNNNNNNNNNNNNNNNNUUUCUCCAUAGCCCAAGAGCCCUAUCAGUUAGUAAUAGGCCCCAUUACUCGAGUAUCUUUUGAGCCCUUUUUUAUUUUUUACUUUUCCAAAGUUAUUACUCGUAUAAAGAUUUUAUCCCUUUCACGUUUAAUAAUGUAUUAUGCACGUACGUAUGUAUUUCUCAUGACUCAUUUUUUUACAAGAAUUUCAAUAAGACACAAAAUUCACGUAUUAUACACAUAAUUCUAACAUAUUAUUGAAAAAAUCAUAAUAUGUAUUUAAAAAAAUCUCAGUUUUUCCCUAAAAUAGUAUAGCCGUUUGGCUAUACUCGUGUUUUCAAAAUUUUUAACUAAAAAUAGUACAGCCGCCCGUCUGUACCUGUUUGACACGUGGCGCAUGGGCGCUGGGCAGUUGUAUAAAGAGUAUAGCCGCCCGGCCGUACUGGAUUAAUUCUGAAUUUUCUUUACAAAAUAGUAUAGCCGUGCGGCUAUACUCGCCAAAUUUAUGUUUUUAAAUAGUACAGCUCUGACACGUGGCACCUGUGCGUCCUUUUUUAAAUAUAUAAAUAGUAUAGCCGCACGGCUAUACUAUUUGAAAAGAAAAUUUAAUCUGGGAAUUUUUUUCUAAAAUUUUUAAAUAUAAAAGAAUUUGUUUCUUUACCUUUGUUUUUGGCCUACUUCUUUAAUUAAAUAUAUGUAAUUGAGCAAUAUCUUAGCCUUUUUGAAUUACUUUAAUUGAUACUUAUAUUUUAAUUAUUAUUUAAUAUAAGAAAUUAAAGAAAAAGUCCACAAAAUAAUUAAUUUAUGGGUGUUUUAAUUAAAUUUCUCAAUAGCCCAAGAGCCCUAUCCGUUAGUAUUAGCCCAUUACUCGAGUAUCUUUUGAGCCCUUUUUUAUUUUUUACUUUUCCAAAGUUAUUACUCGUAUAAAGAUUUUAUCCCUUUCACGUUUAAUAAUGUAUUAUGCACGUACGUAUGUAUUUCUCAUGACUCAUUUUUUUACAAGAAUUUCAGUAAGACACAAAAUUCACGUAUUAUACACAUAAUUCUAACAUAUUAUUGAAAAAAUCAUAAUAUGUAUUUAAAAAAAUCUCAGUUUUUCCCUAAAAUAGUAUAGCCGUGCGGCUAUACUCGUGUUUUCAAAAUUUUUAACUAAAAAUAGUACAGCCGCCCGUCGGUACCUGUUUGACACGUGGCGCAUGGGCGCUGGGCAGUUGUAUAAAGAGUAUAGCCGCCCGGCUGUACUGGAUUAAUUCUGAAUUUUCUUUAAAAAAUAGUAUAGCCGUGCGGCUAUACUCGCCAAAUUUAUUUUUUUAAAUAGUACAGCUCUGACACGUGGCACCUGUGCGUCCUUUUUUUAAUAUAUAAAUAGUAUAGCCGCACGGCUAUACUAUUUGAAAAGAAAAUUUAAUCUGGGAAUUUUUUUGUAAAAUUUUUAAAUAUAAAAGAAUUUGUUUCUUUACCUUUGUUUUUUGGCCUACUUCUUUAAUUAAAUAUAUGUAAUUGAGCAAUAUCUUAGCCUUUUUGAAUUACUUUAAUUGGUACUUAUAUUUUAAUUAUUAUUUAAUAUAAGAAAUUAAAGAAAAAGUCCACAAAAUAAUUAAUUUAUGGGUGUUUUAAUUAAAUUUCUCCAUAGCCCAAGAGCCCUAUCCGUUAGUAUUAGCCCAUUAUUCGAGUAUCUUUUGAGCCCUUUUUUAUUUUUUACUUUUCCAAAGUCAUUACUCGUAUAAAGAUUUUAUCCCUUUCACGUUUAAUAAUGUAUUAUGCACGUACGUAUGUAUUUCUCAUGUUUAAUACACUCAUUUUUUUACAAGAAUUUCAAUAAGACACAAAAUUCACGUAUUAUACACAUAAUUCUAACAUAUUAUUGAAAAAAUCAUAAUAUGUAUUUAAAAAAAUCUCAGUUUUUCCCUAAAAUAGUAUAGCCGUGUAGCUAUACUCGUGUUUUCAAAAUUUUUGACUAAAAAUAGUACAGCCGCCCGGCUGUACCGACAAAAAAAUAAUUGGGUUUAAUUUAAAUAAUAAUCGGGUUUAAUUUAUUAGUUAUAUGUAUUAAUUAACCAGUGACCCAACUAAGUAGGCAUUUACCCGAAGGGUAUACCCACAAACCACUCAAUUGGGCCACUUGCAUAGCCAAUACAAACUAUUCUAUUUCCAAGAGUAAGUCUUAUAAAAACCUCCCGGAAACUCUAGUAUUCCAAUGUGGGAACUCAAACAUGUUUGCAAUGCCUCUCAAAACUAACAAAACUAUAAAUUACGUUACUGCACACAUUAUUUGUCGUAGAGAAUUGUUGUUCUGGUUGGCAAAGAGAUUGCAAAAUCACCAACUUGCAUUUUUGUUACAAGCAGGUAGAAUGAAAAACCCUGAAUUUAUCACCCAAAUUUCCUCAAUUCUCAAGAAACAGGACCACUUGGUCGUGGUAUAAUUACUAAAACUUAUGAUUUUCCUUUCAUGGCAGAAUACAAAGAGCUCUCAUCUGAUCAGUCCCGAAACUUAUGUCGAUGUACCCUGGCAGAAUACAAAGAGCAUUAAGAGUAAUAGAUUGUUUUAUUUUGUCUGGGAAAGGAAAACUCAAACAUACCUUCUUUUGAUCAUUGGUGAAUCAUAGGCAGUUAGGCUUUUGGCCUGUAAAUGAAUCUAGUAGUGUUGUUUCAAAAUUAUGAUUUCCAUCUGCACUAUGCAGGUUAUUAUGAAGGCUUAAACAUUUGACAGCAUGGGAAGAAAAAUCUACAUGCAAUCCAAGUGCAUAUCUCACCACUCCCUCCCUGGGAUGUGACCAGAACAAAAUUUCAAAGUACAGGGAUCAGCCUUGAGGUAUCAGUUCUGUUUUGUGGUUAUACAAUAUUUACUAUUCAAUAAUUAAUUUCCUUCGAUUUUUGUUCUGGUUUUUGAAUUGAAUUAUUGUGUAGUAAAUAUCAGCGUAUUCAUGAAGAAAAACCAUGGCACCAUAAUUUUUUGUUUAAUAAGUUUCAUAUUAUAACUAGCUUACAGCAAAGCAAGAAAUUAGAGAUGAUAGCAAGGCUCAAUAGCCUCUAGGCUCUACAUUUUGUAGGUUAUUAAGAACAACAACAAACCUAAUAAGAAGGCUCAUGAAGAACCAUCAGGACAGCACCUGGCCUUUUCUUUAUAGAACUUGAUUCACUAAAUUGUCUAAGUUUGCGUAUGAAGAACCAUCAGGACUGAUGGCCUUCUCUGCUAGUUUCUUCCAUUCCAUAGCCUUAGUUCUCAUUUUCUUACCCUUCUCUCCCUCCACUAACUCUUUAAUGAGCUUCUCUACUUGGUCUCUCUAGGCAUCAUUAUUGAUCUCCAACCCAAUGCCCCAUUCAUUGCAAGUAUAAACACAAUUUAUUCGCUGUUCGGCAAAGAAUGGCCAACAAUGCAUAGGAACUCCUGCAGAAAGACUCUCAAUGGUUGAGUUCCAACCACUGUGUGUUAAGAAUCCUCCAAUUGAUGGGUGGCUAAGGACUUGCUCUUGUGGGCACCAGCCUGCUACCAAACCUCUUCCCUUAGUUUCAGCUACAAACUCAGGUGGCAAAAUCGCCGAUUCACCAACUAACGAUCAGGUCUCACUACCCAGAAGAAGGGAAACUUGCUAUUUGCAAGUCCCCAACAAAACUCAAUAAGAUCUUUUGACUUUAUGACCACUAUGCUGCCAAAGUUGACAUAAACAACCGAGUUUGGCAGCUUAGCAUUGAGCCAUUGGAACCAUUCAGUUUCUUCUUUCCAUAGACUAUAUUCCAUGGACUUCAAAGGGUGUUGUGGUAUCUGAUUGAGAAGUAACUGGAGAGGGCCAAUGGUAUAAACAGGUGGAGGCAUUGAUGAGAGAGCAUGCAAAACAUCUGCCUCCAACUCAUCAAAAGUAUGAAGAACAACUGCUGAAGCUUUAUCAACUCUGUCCAUUGCUUCCAAGGUUAAUUUAAACAAGAUGUCAUUGGGGUUUGUAGUUUGAAAGUAAUUUGGGAGAUCCUUUAAACGAAUAGCUUUCGUUCCGGGAACCCAAUCUAUGACCUGGUCCAAAAAGCCAUUUGUUAAAUAGCUCUCAUCUGCAACACCCAAGUCAAGAAAAAUUUCAUCAUCAUUUUUUAAAAGAACAACAAGAAGUUAAGCAAAAAGUUGCUCAACUGCUUCAAUAUUAUGAAUACUUCUUUCACCUUUGAGUGGGGCAAGUCCUUUCUCUGCCAAAGUGGGAUAUUGCUUAAAGCCCAUGAAUCCAAUUGCAGCAAUAGUAAAGAACAGUGCAACAGGGAUUCCAAGUUCUUCAGCAGCUGUGAUGCUGAAAGUCAUGAAACCAUCUGAAACAAUGCAAGUCACUGGAGGAUUACUAAUAUUGUUAGAAGUUGCCAUGUCAUGGAGUUUUAAAAGGAGGUUACGAAAUACUGCCAAGAAAUUUUUUCUGAUGGAAUCGCAAAGCAAAUAGGCGUUUUGGCUGCAUCCUCAUCUGAAGCUGGAAGACCAUCUGGAAUGGUUUCGAAUUGAAAAUCAGGCAAGCCAUCGAGGGAGUUAGGUCCAAGAGAUUUAAGAAAGCGUCAGUGGUUGAACUCUGUGUUAACAAAGGUUAUAUGAAAACCUCUAUGGUGUAGGAGCUUUAAUAAUUUCAGCAUUGCCUUUAUAUGGCUUUGAAUUGCAAAGGGAAUGCAUACAGCAUGAGGCUUAUUGCCUUGUACUUCAAUGGAGCUCAUCUUAGAUUGUGUGUACAGUCAGUGUAUGCACAUAUGAACAAUAUUUGCACUCACAACACAAAUGCAGUAAAACUUUAUAGUUCUAACAACAUUUUCGUCCUUAUCAAACACCAGUUUAGGUCCAAUCUCAUGUCAUAUUCAAUUCAAGAAAACAACAAAUCUUGCAAAUCCGAAACUCAAGCAACCGAGGAAAAACAAGGCAACAAACCACUUGAGCACGACUCUUUUCCCUUAUACUAGCCAUGCAAAGAUAGAGGAGAGAUAGAGGACCACCACCACCAUUUUAUAGUAAUUUUGUUGUCACCAUCCAUUUUUUUUCAAUAGCGGCUAAAAUAUUUUUGUCAGAAUCUUCAGCUCAUUGGGACAAAUUUUUUAUUUUUUUAUUUGAUUUUUUAUGUUUGGUGUUAAGACAAAGUCAAGAACCACCAACUAACAAAUAAUAUAGAAAAAAACAGCAAAUGGCAGACAACCUCAAAGCACCAAGAGAUAUCAUUAAAUAUAUAUGACGAUCACCAUUAUUUGUUUGAAUUAUGUAACAUGUGCUUGUUUGUAACUAUAAAAACGUAAUCAAUCAAAAGCUACAAAGAAAGCCACAUGAAAAUAUUAAAAAAUGAAACGAGGGCAUACAAAUUUAGGUCCUAUCUCAUAUUAUAUUCAAGAAAACAACUAAUCUUGCAAAGCCAAUCCAAAACUCAACCAAUCAAGAAAAAACCACUUGAGCACGAAUCUGUUCUCCUUUCCUAGUCAUUGGAUUCCGAGCUUUUGCAUUUAGGGUGUGUAUUUAAUUGGGAUUUUAAAAGAUUAUUUUGGGAUAAAUAAGUCUUGUGGUAUUCAAUUAAAACUUUUAAAUGAUCUAAACAAGUCUUGUGGUUUCCAUUAAGACUAUUAGGAUUUUUAAAAGAGAGUGGCCAAAUCUAGUGGUAUUCAAUCAAGACUUUAAACAAGUAACAAAAAGUUUUAUGGUAUUCAAAACUUGCUAAUUUCGAGAGUUUUUUUUUUUAAAUGUGGAAUUCUGUGAGAUUUUUUAGUGGGAAGUAUAAAUACCAAACCAUAUCUCAAAUCCCACCCUAACCCAUCAAAUUUUUCAUGUGAGAGUUUUUUUGUCCUUUCUUCCUUCAAAACGUGUUGUUUGUUGCCAGUAAUACCAAUAACAUGGUGUGGAGCUAAACUUAUGAUUUUCCUUCUUCCUUUCAUGAGAACUCUCAUCUGAUCAGUCUCGAAUUUUUUUUACUUUUUAUUUGAAGGGUUGCAACAGUGGAGGCAGAUCACUUAAAAAUUGUGUUGAUAUUCUCAAUGAAGUAAGUUUUUCUAGUACUGGCCUGCCUUUGUUUAUCAGUUAAUUAUAGGCUUAUUUACUAUAGAACCUCCUGAAACUUCAGUCAAAUCUCAGUUAAUCCCCCCAAAGUUAAAAUGGCCCACUUAACCCCCUUGACCUUGGUUUUGUAUUCCACUCCCCCCACCCCACCGUUAACGCCAUCCAAAAGACAGUAAAAACAAAGCUGAUGUGGCAGGGGUAUAUUAUGGUAAAAGCACCCACAAUGGCCAAUUGCUGACCGUAGUCAGCAUCCUACAUGGCAUAGUGGACUCCACAGGCGUUGAAAAUCCUAAUCUAAGUGACUGAAUAGGGUGAAGCGGACCCCAGAUAACAAUAUUUUCUCUUCUUCUUCGAUAAUAGAGUUUCUAAACCCAGAAAAAUCACUUCCCACCAUUUGAAGGAUUUGAGGUUCCCCAGAGAAAAAUCUCUUAAUCUUUCUUCGAUUAAAGGGUGUAAAGAUGAGGAAAAAACCUCCACGAGGAGAAGAGCUGGCCAUUGCUGCACCUCAUUGCUAUUGUGGGAGGCUUGCUAGGCUGCAGACUUCUUGGACAGAGUCCAACCCAUUUCGGAGGUUAUUUGUGUGUCCAAAGUCAAAGGUAGGUUUUGAAUUUGCUAUUUUAUCAAAAAUUGGACAAAAAAUUGUGAGAAUGUGAUGGAAUUGUUGUUUGAAUGCAGAGGGGGAAAAACGAUUGUGGGUUUUUUUUAUGGGUUGAUAUUGAAAUGCAUCCCCGUGAGAGAGCUGUGAUGGCUUGGCUGCUGAGGAAAAAGAGAGAAGUUGAAGAUCAUAUUGGGCGUGCGAGAGCAAGAGAGAAGAAGUUGUGGAUUGCUCUGUUUAUUUCUUAGGCCUUUGUGUUUAUGGUUUGGUUUGGCAAUGUUGUGUAAUGUAAGUUAGGCAAUUGGUAUGUUUGAAAGUUAGGCAAUGUGGUAUGUGUGAAAGUUAGGUAAUGUUGUGUAAUGUACCUAGUUGAAUGGCAAUUUAGGGAGAUGAGAGUCUUAUGUAAAGGCUGUAGCAUUUUUGCAAAUGUAAUGGUUUCAAAGCCCUUUUGUAAUGGUUAAGACUAAACACUUUUAUAAGCACCACUAAUUCUUGAAAGCUUUUCAACUGCCAUUGAUUAAUAACUUUGUACAUAAAUUGUACAUAGUCUUGUACAUAACUCAAAAGACUUUCUAAGCACAUGUUUAAACAAUGGCAAGGCCAAAACAAAAUACGUGUACACUGAAUAUGCACCUAUUUAAUCCAUGACAAUGCCAAAUAAUUUGUAUCCAAAAACAAAGUAGACAAUAAAAUACCAAACAGACAGUUUCUACCCAAAAACAUAUAUGUUCACCAAGACACAACAAAACAUCAAAAUAGAGGAGAGAUUUUCAAUAUCUCCAUAGCUUAAACUUUGCCAAGAAGCCUUUCUUCUUAGUUGGAGACUUAAACCUAAAUUUGUUAAAUAACCCGCACACUAGAUCUUGUUCUUUGAUGUAACCAACGGCAAUAGACUAAACUAGCAAAUUGAGAAAACUUAGAAACACACAGUUGUGAUUUCUCUAGGUAGAGAAAUCACUGCUUCUUUGAUUAAUAAUAGAGAUUACUGAACUUUUUCAACCCUAGAACUAAUCUCAAAACUCUCGACUGUCUCUGGCUGUUUUUUCUCUCUAAAAUAAGCCCUGCCGCACCCUAUUUAUAGAUAUAGAGUUGGCUUACAUGUCCCAAGGUGGAUUGAAUUCCUAUUCCUAAGUGGAUUAGGAAAUUACACUUAUCCAAAUCCUAAUAGACUUCUAGAAAUCCAAACCAAAAUUGAAUAAGGAAAACUGAAAUUCUUUCCUAAUCCCUCUAGGACAAGAAUUGGUAUACCUCUAAUUUUCCUAAAACAAUCCUAAACCAACUAGGACAUAUUUGACGAGCCAAAAUCCUAACAAUCUCCACCUUGGUGAGUCAAACCAAGUCUUGAUCGUUGCACCCCAAAGUAUCUUUGAACCUCCUUGAAGCAGCUCUAGAAAUCUUCAAGAGUCUUCACCUUGGUAAUCUUCUUCUUGCCUCAUUGCACCUCAAGUGAGGAGGUGCUCUACUUUAAUCAAUCAACUAGAUUGAUCAAGUUCAAGCAAUGCUUGAACUUCUUGGCUAGCACUAUCUUUGUAAGGAAAUCUGUGGCGUUGUCAUCCGUAUGACUCUUUUCAAUCCAAAUCUCCUUAGACUCCACCCAAUUUCUGAUUUUGUGAUAUCUUGCUUCAAUGUGCUUUGAUCUUCCAGAAAAAACUUGAUUCUUUGCCAGGUGAAUGGCACUUUGACUAUCACACUUUAGCUUCACACAAUCUUGGGUGAUUCCCAUUUGACUUACCAAGCCAUUAAGCCAAAUUGCUUCCUUUCUAGCUUCGGCCAAUGCAAUAUACUCUGCCUCUGUGGUCGACAAAGCUGUAAUUGGUUGUAGUCAUGCCUUCCAACUGAUCGGUCCUCCUGCGCAUGUAAACACAUAACCAGAAGUUAACCUUCUCUUGUCCGAGUCCCUUGCAUAAUUAGCAUCCACAUAUCCCAACACCCUUGCAUUUUCUUUUUGCUUCUCAAACAUAAUCCUUUGUCGCCAAGAACCCUUCAAACAACACAAAAUCCACUUGACUACAUCCCAAUGUUGCUUUCCUGGAUUUGCCACGUAUCUGAAAACGACACUGAUUGCUUGAGCUAUGUCGGGACGUAUGCAUACCAUUGCAUACAUAAGGCAGCCCACGACAUUAACAUAAGACAUCUUCUUCAUUACUUGCUGCUCUUCCUCGAACUUAGGACACUGUUGCCCACUUACCUUGAAAUUAGCUGCCAAAGGAGUCGAAACUACCUUUGCUUCUUGCAUGUUGAACUUCUCAAGAACCUUCUGAAUAUAAUUGGCUUGUGAUAUCCAUAUCCUUCCAGCGGUCAUAUCUCUCUGAAUUUCCAUGCCAAGGAUCUUCUAUGUUGCACCUAGAUCCUUCAUGUCGAACUCCUCGCUCAACAUCUUCUUCAAGUCUUGAAUUCUAGACUUGUCUUGACAAGUGAUUAGCAUGUCAUCCACAUAUAGCAAUAGAAAUAUGAUCAUCCCAUGUUGGAAUACAUGAUAGUACACGCAACAGUCAUAUAAACAUCUUCUAAAAUUGAUUUUCAGCAUGAAGUAAUCGAACCUCUUGUACCACUGUCUUGGAGACUGUUUUAGGCCAUAUAAGGACUUCCUUAGCUGACAUACUAGGUUUUCUUUCCCAUAUUCAACAAACCCUUCUGGUUGAGCCAUGAAAAUUGUCUUAUCUAGAUCCUCAUGAAGAAACACUUUCUUCACAUCCAUCUGCUCAAUCUCCAUGUCAUGCUGAGUUGCCAUUGCUAAAAGCAAUUUGAUAGAAGUAUGCUUGACUACGGGUGAAAAGAUCUCAUCAUAAUCCACCCAUUCCUUUUGUGAGUACCCUUUAUCCACGAGCCUUGCUUUGAAUCUCACGGCAUCUUGUUCAUGUAGUCAUUCCUUUUUCCUAAAUACCUACUUGCAUCCAACUAGCUUUCUGCCUUUGGCUUAGGAACCAACUCCCAAACAGAGUUCUUGUAAAAAGACUCCAUUUCUUCUGUCAUAGCACUUAUCCAACUAUCUCGCUCAUCACUUGCUAUAGCUUCUCGAUAAGUAGUUGGAUCUUCUUGACUAAUGUUGAGAGCAUAAUUAACUUCAUCUAGGUUAAACCCAAACCUGUCAGGUUUCUUCUUGUUCCGAUUAGGUUUGUCCAGUGCUAUGCAUCUCUGGAAUACAGGUGGAUUGUUGGUUGGAGUUCGAACCCUUUGGGAUAUCUGGAGGAUUAUAGUGCCUUCAAUCUGCCCUGUUUCUUGCUCCACCUGAUUCUUAACUGGUGAACAAUGUUGAUGCUCUUCUUCUUCCUCAAAACCAUCAGAUUCGACAUCUUGCUCAAUUUGCUCCACCUGAGCUUCUUCUUCAUCUGAACUGAUUAACGGAAUCUUUGUUGCUUCAAUUUCAGCAUCGUAUUUCUUAUCCCUACUGCUCUCGACUUUAUUCAGAGGCAUGGUUGUCUUAUCAAAGACAACAUCUCGGCUAACAACUUUUUUCCUGUUGUUGAUAUCCCAAAGCUUGAAACCCUUCACUUCUUUCUCAAAACCUAAGAAUAUGCAAUGUGUAGACUUUGGUUUGAGCUUGGACCUUUCAUCACUUGGAAUAUGUGCGUAAGUACUACAGCCGAAUACCCUGAGCUUGGAAUAGUCCACCGGCUUCUCAUACCAUACCUCUUCUGCACUCUUAAAACCGAUAACUGUAGAUGGUGAUCUAUUAAUCAAAUAACUUGCAUGAUUAACAGCCUCUGCCCAAAAAAUAUUGGGCAAUCCUGUAUGAAAUCGCAUGCUCCUCUCUCUCUCACUCUCUCUCCUCUCUCUCUCUCCAUGAGAGUUCGGUUCAUCCUCUCAACAGCUUCAUUUUUGUUGGGGAUUCUUCUUUACCGUGAAGUGCCUUAUGAUGCCUUCUUGCUUGCGGUAAUCGGUAAACUCAUUACUUGUAUAUUCACCUCCAUUGUCACUUCUCAGGUACUUGAUCUUUCUUUUAGUUUGAUUCUCGGUUUCUGUUUUCCAUUCCUUGAACUUUGCAAAAACCUCAGAUUUCUGCUUCAUGAAAUAAACCCAAACCUUCCUAGAAAAAUCAUCCAUGAAAGUAACAAAAUACAUGGCUCCACCAUUUGAUUUGGUUGGUACAAGGCCCCAAUCUGAGUGAAUAUAACUGAGCUGCUCCUUGCUUCGGUUAUCUGCACUGAUACUCGUGAAUGAUACCUUUCUUUGUUUUCCAAGAACACAAUAUUCACAAAAGUCUAGUUUGCAAGAUGACACGCCUUCUAACAGGCCUUGCUUGUGUAAUUCUUACAACCCUUUCUGGCUUAUGUGCCCGAGCUUAUGAUGCCAAAGUUCAGUCUUGUCUUCUAUACCUUGAUUUACAGAAACAGCUGCUCCCUCAACUAUAGUGGUCCCAAUUAACUUAUACAGCUUAUUGGGUUUUACGUCACCCCGCAUUACCACCAAUGAUCCUUUGGCUACCCUGAGUCUUCCCUUUUUAGACUCGUACCCAUAGCCGGCCUCAUCUAAAGUACCCAAGGAAAUCAAAUUCUUUCUUAGUCUAGGGACAUAUCUAACGUUCCCCAAAACUCGUAUCAUCCCAUCAAACAUUCUGAUUCGAACAGUGUCGAUUCCUUUAACAGGACAUGAAGAAUCGUCCCCCAUUAAAACUUCCUCGCUGUUGACUUCUUUGUAAGUAUCGAACCAUUCUCUUACUGCACACAUAUGAAAAGUGCAUCCGGUAUCCAAAAUCCAAUUUGUGAAAGCCUUGGAGCCUAAUGUUACUGAAAGAAGCUCCCCAUCACUCUCAUUCUCGGUGACUACACUAGCUGAACCUGAGCUUUCUUCCCUCUUGGCUUUCUUCUCUUUCCAAAUCUUGCAGUUCCUCUUCCAAUGAUUGGUUGAACCACAUUCGAAGCAACCUUCCUUCUUUUCCUUUUUCUUCUUAGAUUUUGACCUACCUCUGUUGCCUGUUUUCUCUUUCUUUGUCUUUUUCCUCCCCCUCUCCUUGCCUUUGGCAUAAAGGCCUUGAGAUCUUUCAAUUAUAUCAUCUAGUUUAGCUUAUGACUGAAGAGCUUGAAUUACGUCUUCAAGCUUCAGGGACUCUUUUCCAAACAUUAGAGUUGUUCGAAAGUGCUUGAAAGACGAAGGUAGAGACUUCAGCAAGAUGAUAGCCAUAUCAUCAUCUUUGUAAGUUUCUUGGACCUUUUGAAGAUUAGUUAUGCAAUUUUGGAACUUGCAUACGUGAUCUUCAAUAUCACCUCAUUCUUCCAGUCGAAGUCCGAAUAGUUCAUCCUUGAGAAAAAGUUUAUUGGACACGAUUUUUCCAUAUAAACAUUCUCCAACUUUUCCCAUGCUUCAUGGGCAGUCAUCUUUUCGGUGACGUGUGACCGAACUGAUCUUGUGAGAUGGAUCUCGAUGGAACUCUUGGCCUUCUUGAGAACCUUAGUCCAUGCUGCGUCUUUCAUGCUUGCUAGUUUCUCAUCGUUGAGUGCAUCAUCCAAAUCUUGUUGUAUCAGUAUGUUCUUCAUCAUCAUUUGCCAGUCCGUGAAGUUAUCCUUGCCGUCAAAGGGCUUUAACGCAGGUCCUAGAUCCGCAUUCAUCUUCCCUUUAGACAUCAUAAAACCCCUUGAGCCAAGCUCUGAUACCAAUUGUUAAAUAACCUGCACACUAGAUCUUGUUCUUUGAUGUAACCAACGACAAUAGACUAAAUUGGAAAAUUGAGAAAACUUAGAAACACACAAGAAUUAUACUGGUUCGGCAUAAAUUUUGCCUCCAUCCAAUUGUGAUUUCUCUAGGUAGAGAAAUCACCGCUCCUUUGAUUAAUAAUAGAGAUUACAGAACUUUUGCAACCCUAGAACUAAUCUCAAAACUGUUGGCUAUCUCUGGCUGUUUUUCCUCUCUAAAAUAAGCCAUGUCGCACCCUAUUUAUAUAUAGAGAGUUGGCUUACAUGUCCCAAGGCUGAUUGAAUUUCUAUUCCUAAGUGGAUUAGGAAAUUACACUUAUCCAAAUCCUAAUAGAUUUCUAGAAAUCCAAACCUAAAUUGAAUAAGGAAAACUGAAAUUCUUUCCUAAUCCCUCUAGGACAAGAAUUGGUAUACCUCUAAUUUUUCUAAAAUAAUCCUAAACCAACUAGGACAUAUUUGACGAGCCAAAAUCCUAACAAACUUUCCUUUGUGAGGAAACUUGUAAAGGCCGAAACGAAUUUGGUUCUUAGGAUUGGGAGGCUUGUUCAAACAGAGCAGCUUGUGAUGCUUGUUCAAAUUGAGAAGCUUGAGAGGCUUGUUCAAACUGAGAAGCUUGAGAGGCUUGUUCAAACUGAGAUGCUUGAGAUGGUUGUUCAAACUGAGAUGCUUGAGAUGGUUGUUCAAACUGAGAAGCUUGAGAUGGUUGAGCUGGUUGGUGAGAUGGUUGAGGAGCUUGGUUAGACUGAGAAGAUGCUUGGUGAUGAUUGGUCCUUUUUUUUUAGCCUUUGAUAUGAUCUGAAAAUUGUGGCAGAGUUAGAUUAACAUACCUAUUUUUGGAUUAAUAUCUACAUAUGAAGAGUUCCAUAAUGCUACUUAAAUAAAAGAAACUCAACUUACUGGUUGUUUUUGCCUUGAUUGUGUAGAAGAUGAUGCUUGUUUCUGCCUUGAUUGUCUUGUAAUUCUCUGAGUUGAUGCGUUGCCUUAAUGUGUUGUCUUCUUUUGCCUUUGUGAUGGUACCUGGCCAACAAACAUCAUUGAGAAAUACAUAUUAGAAUGCCAAAUACUUAAAAUUACUUGUCUUCGUAGCUUCCUGGAAACUCUUCCUAGCCUUAUUAGGCACUUGCCCUUACUUAGCUGUCAAUAUUUUUUUUUGGAAUUCCUUGGUGUGCGUAGCAUUCAUUCUCCAUGCUUCUCAGCUGGAUUAUCAGCAUUAGUUCUAGCAGGGUGAUCAACAUUCAAACCAUUAGCAGUAACUCGAGUGGUGACCCCCAUAUUCUCCACAACAACUGUAUCUGCUGCUUGAGCCUUGACUUUAAUAAUAAUUGGGCAGGUGUCUCUACCAUGCCCACAGAAAGCACAUUCAAAGAAAACCAAUUAGAUUCCCUCAUACACCACCCCGUAUGUACGACCUUCUACCUUAAUGAAAGGGGUGAGUGGUUUAGACAGAUCAAGCUCACACACUCUGGUAAACUUACCUCUAGCUUGACUCAUUGUGUGUGGAUCCACCUUCAAAGUAUUGCCUAUCAGAUUCCCAAUCUUUUCCAUAACAUCAACUUUAAAGUACUCCACAUUCAGGCUAUUCAUUCGAACCCAUGUAUUCAUGUAGGUAAUUUUUUUCCUCGGAAUCAAAGCCAGGCUUCCACUUCUGGGUUACCAGAUACUACCCAUCUAUUUGCCAAGGGUCACCAGUGAGAACAUAAUUCAUAUCCUCCACUAGCAAGAAUUUUACAACAUAGUAGUUGUUCUCAAGAUCAAUUAAGCUCAUUGGCCUUUAAGAGCCCAUCUCUGGAGCAACCUGGCCCUAAAAAACGUGUAGGACACAGGGCAAGUCAUAUGCUUGAUAAUUAUACCAUUUCGCCAGGGAUGGUAUAAACACUCACUGAUUCUGUCUGAAAAGUGGAUUUAGGGAAUUUUCCCUUGCUUUGUAAUAAAAUCGUCCUCUCCGAUCUCCAUACGAUCCUCAGCCAUACCAAAAUCACAAGCUACCUCGUCUUUGAAGCUCAUUGGAAUAUGAGGCAACGAUGGGGGGUUCAUCAGCAUUGGGUCCACCACCAUCUAGGGUCUUGGGUGCGAGCUUGCUUCCCUCUUAGGGGUGCCCAACCAAACCAGAUCCAUCCCCACCCACAGAAAAUAUGAACUUCGGCAUUGCUGCUACCACCAAGAGUGAUGGUAGCAGUCGCAUACUAAGGAAAGCAUAAGGGAGAGAGAGCACACUUUCCUGAGACUUUGACGGCUUAGAUGUUCUUUGAAAUAAGUUCAAUAAUUAUUUUUUUUUCCUAAAGUGAUCAAAAAUAAUAAACUCAUGGGAAUAUAUUCAAAUAAUAAACUCUUGAUAAAUUACUGAUUAUCAACUCUUCUAUUUUUUUAUAUUAUCUAUUAGGAAAUAAUAAACUCAACAAAAUACAGUUCUAAAAAAUAACAUAAGAAAUCACUAAAAUGCAAAAGACAAGGGUAAAUGCAAAAGAAAAACACACAACUACAUUUAAAGCUUUGCGGGACGAAGAGGAUUUCAUCGCGCAGAGUCACAUGUAGUCGCACAAAUUUCAGCGCGACAAAAAAUUCGUCCCGCACAAGCCGUUGCGCAAGGAGCGUGAAGAAAGACUUUGCGCCUAAACCUUUGAUGCAACGAUGGUUAACCCCGUCGCUCAGUUUUGCGCGACCAAGUUUCUGCAUUGGUCGCGCAAAACUGAGCGACGGGGUUAACCAUCGUUGCAUCAAAGGUUUAGGGACGACACAGUUGUGUGUUGCACAAACCUUUGCGCGACGAAACCAUAUUCGUCGCAGGUAUAUUUGAGCGACGACGAGUAUUGCGCGACGAAGCAUUCAUUCGUCGCACAAAAUAUUUUCACAAGACGAAUAUCUUCGUCGCAUGUAUAUUUGAGUGACGAAGAGUAUUGCUCAAUUAAACAUUUGUUCGUCGCGCAAGAUGUUUUCGCGAGAUGAAUAUCUUCGUCACGCAAGAAUAAAUAUAUGUAAUUAAAAUGUUAUUUUUAGUUUUUUUAUUUUGUAAAAUGUGAAUUUGCGUGACGAAAAAUAUUUCGUUGCGCAAAAGUAAUAUAUAUUAUUUAAAUUUAAUAUUACGUUUUUUUUAAUUUUGUAAAAAAAUAAAUUUGGUUUUUUUUUUGUUGUGGUAAAAAAAUGAAAUUGCAAUCACAAAAUGAAUUGAAGAGAACAAAAAAUUAUAUAAAAUAAAAUAAAGUGUUACAAGAGAAAUGUUUAAAAUAUAAUUAUAAAAAUAAAAAACUAAUCAAAUAAUGUUCCAAAAUCUACUUGGGCGUCAGGCAUAUACAACUCGGAGAUUUGGGGGUCCAUAGGGGUAGUGGUCUGGCGGGCAUGCUUGAGGUGGACGGGCUCGGAGGUCGAUGCAUCAAAUUGCCGGACUAGAAUGCCAGACCACGUGAGGGACUGCAGAAUCACCGAUAUCUGACCCUCAAGCUCGGCCACCUUUGCUGUCAAAACAGUCACCUGACUGUUUGACUGCGCUGAUGAACGGGGUCUAGGUUGCCUCCGCCGGUCAUUCCCCAUCCCUCGACAAUAUGUCCCUGGCCUCCUCCCGAGAGUUUGAUCCAACGUCUCCGUCAAGAUCUGAAAUCCAACAUCCUGUGAAGGAUCCACAGACUCGAUCGGAGUCUCAGGAAGAAGUUGGGAGGCGGACUCCUGAAGAACCAACUGGCACCUCUCAACCAUCGUCGUCUGUUUAACAUAACAUAAAAUAUAAAUUGAAACAUGCAUAUAAUUGAAUGCGUAACAUAAGAAUUAAAAUUAAAUAAUACUUACAUGAAGAGACUCGGUCAACUCAUUCCCAGGUCGAACAUAAACGUCGCCGAAGACCUGGGAAUUUGGACCCCCCUUAAAUUGAACAAGAGAAAAAAAAUAUUAGUAUGAAAAAAAUAAAUUAAUUAUAAUAACAUAUUAAAAAUUAAAUAUAAAUUAUUUUCUUAUUAUCCGCCGUCGUGCAUCCAUCCUAUAUGAGAAGGGCCUAGAACCAGAAUGGUGGAGAAGAGUCUUCUUCUUCCUAUUGCCCUUAUUGACUUGGGCUUUAUUCUGUUAUACAAAAAAUAAAACGUAUUAGUUGAAAUAUAAAAAAUUAAAUAAUAAUGAAAUAUAAAAAAUUAAAUAAACAUUAGUAAGAAAUAUGUAAUAAUUAAACAAAUAUUAUUAAAAAAUACAACAUAAUCGGGUGCCUGAAAAUGAGCGCAGAGCCAUGCCCAACUAUCCUCCCCCCACCCUCAAGCUCCUUCGAGCAACUCUCCUGAAGAGCGACUUGCGGAUCAUCAAACGCCUGAAAAUGGUGGUGCAAGUCACUCUUUCACUGCUUGUACCUCUCAGCGAAGAGUCUGUUGACGUAUGCCAACAACUCACCGUCGAGGUCCUCUAAGUUGUAGUUCGUCUGCAAUAAAUUAAUUACAUACAUUAAGUAAUAGAAAUAUAUAAAGUUUUUUGAAAGAAAAAUAAUUAAAAGGUAGGAUACAUACCGACAACUGGCCGCAAACCUCCAUCUUCAUCUUAUCAGGCAUGACCUUCCAAAACUUCCAUUGCCUCUGGCAAUAGGUCCGAACGACGUGGCCAAUGUCGUGGGCCAAGGAGCUAUGCAACUCCGUCGCCAGUGUAGCCCGACGGCGCUCGUCGUAUCCAAUGCUGAUAUGACUGUUGGUCACCCGGGUGACCUUCGCCGUCUUCAGCUGUCGACACGGCCCUCAAGUGUUCUUCUUGGCUGCAAAGAAAUAUGACAUUAAUGUUAAAUAAAUAACAAAUUUAACUAUAAAAUUCACAAUACAAAAAAUAAAAUAAAAAAGAACUGGAGUUGAAGAAAAUCUAUACCUGGCUGUGACCCUGAGGCACCAGUACCGUCGGUCGAUGUGGUGUUGGUGGUGCUGGGGGGCCGGUGCUGCCGCCUAGCGCUAACAAGCUACUCUAUUGAUGAAGCUGAUGACGCAGGCGCCUGGGACCCCCUAGACCAACUGGCAAGUGGUCCAUCAGUGCUAAAACAGUGGCAGUAGAUGCCGGCUGGGCCGGGGGCUCCGAACUCGGUGCAGUCGUCAUCGACCUACGACGUCUAAUUAGGUUUAACAUCUGCACAAUUUCAUUAAUAUACAUACAAAUUAAUCAAAUUUACGAAUAUAUAAGUGUAAGCACAUACAAUUUCAUUAAAAAUUUUAACUAAUUAAUUAAAAGCAUAACUUGACCUAGAGUUUGGAUUUCGGAGUAUCCGGGACUCUGAUCCACAAUCCGUUGAAUCCUGCACGAUCCUAGAAAUACAAGGUACAACAUAAGUGAGUUUGAGUUUGAUCCAACGGUCCUAACAUAUCAAACCUGGAAAUCGCACAAUAGGCGAAAUCCGUUCAAGACUCAAACGGUAACCAAAUUCAAAUCCGAGCACACCUACGCGCUCGUGAUAAAUAGGGGAUUGCACUGGGACCCAAAGCCCCACUGCCACAGUCUCCCACGAGCCACCACACGCGUUGGCAGCGUGUGGGUGUCCAAAGCGAUAACAAUCGCCGAAAAAUUCUAAAAACUAAGGGCCAAGGUUCCUAUCCUAGGUUCAAAAUAUCAAUUGGAGUCACUUUUAUUCUCGGAUCUACCCCAAAAAAUGACCAAAAGUGGCUGAAAUUUAAAUUCAAAAACCAGCCAAAACCUAGGGUUUAAAUUCCAGAAACCUAUUGCGACAAUUAACCAAAUCCUACCCAACCAUCAGCUAGAGCACGAAAAAUAGUCCAGAAACCAUACCUCAGGUGUCAGAUUUGGUGGCCGGAGGAGAGAGAACAAGGCCGGCGAAGACUCUGUCAAACCUAGCAAUAUCCGGCGGUAGGCUCGACGGUGACGGUUCUGGGCUUCGAAGGUUGUGGCGGCCCGAUCCUUUUCCCGGCGGAGCAAUGGGCUGAGGUGACGGUGGAGAGAGAGGCAGUUUAGGGCAGAGAGAGGAAGUGAGGAAGAAAGGAGGCUGUCGCGAUUUUUCUGAAAAUUUAACUGAUCUUGUGCGACGAAGAACACAAUGUGUCGCGCAAGGUAUGUUUAAUAAACCUUGCGCGACGGAAAAAAAACAAUGACGUCGCGCAAGGUAGUUUUCCGCUCAAAUUUUCAUUGCAUUGCGCAACGAAUAAGAAAAACCGUCGCGCAAGGUGCUUAUUCCACCAAAAAAUUUGUCACCUUGCGCGACGAGUGAACAAAACCGUCGCGCAAGGUGCUUAUUCCGCCAAAAAUUUUGUCACCUUGCGCGACGAGUGGACAAAACCGUCGUGCAAGGUUGUUAUUCCAUCAUAAAUUUUUGGGUUUAGGGUUUAGUGAAGGGUCUGAUCAUUUUGCGUGACGAAAAGACUCUAUCAUAGCGCAAGAUUGUGUAAAACCCUAAACCUUAAACCCUAAAUUAAUAAACCUUGCGUGACGUAGAAGACAUUGUGCGCAGGGACGGAUCCACAUAGGAGCAAGGGUGGUCAAUUGACCCCUGCAACUCCAAAAUCCGCCACUAGAGGAAGAAAAAUUGACCCCUGCAAUGGCUGGAUGGCUGGGCAAUUCAUGCCCGCCAUCUGUUCGAGGAAAUGCCUCAAAGGGUUGCAGCAACUUCAACUUCAGCGCAGCAAGAAGGAGUGCACGCAGAGCGCUUCCUUUUUUUCGUCCAAAAGUCCCUCUUCCUAAAGUGGAUAUCAGCUUCUUGCUCUUUGCAAAGGGUGGUUUGGGAGAACAGUGUCAUUGGGAAAAUCAAAGCUUUGCCGUCGAAUUUUACCAUGUGCAUCUUUCAGAACAAGGUUGCCAGAAUUAAAAAGCUCUGCUCUCUCAACAUCAAGGCUACUGGAGUUGGUGCUGGUCUGCCAGAUAGUUGCGCCAUCCACAUCGGUCUCAAGACCAAUGAGCCAUCUUUUCGAAGCGAAACUCUGGCGCCAAGGCUAUUGACAGUUUUGUCUCUGUUAGCCAUCCAAACAACUGUUCUGCUUUUAGAGUUUGUGAACCCACAUGUGAAAGACUCAUCUGGGGAAGUUACUUGAUUUAAUAUGUGUUUUCUCAAUUGUUUUCUCAAUGAAUUAUAUAUGAAUGAUAAUUUAUCGUUUUAUUUUUAUGGGAUGAAUAUUGAUGUUUUUCUUGAUUAGUUGUUGAGGUUUUUUAUUUUAUUUUUUUCCAAGGAUGUUUAAUUUUGUUUUGUUACCUUUAGUUUGAAUAAAGGAUUUCUUAAUAAUAAAAAUAUUUAUGGGUAUAUUUUGUAGAAAUUUUUUUUAACCUUUUAAAAGUUGACCCCCGGAGGAAAAAUUCCUGGAUCCGUCCCUGAUUGUGCGUCACGCAAAUCUCUGGCAAAGUAAUAUUUUAAAUUGAAAUUGAAAUUUUUUUUAUACAUUCUUAUACAUAUUAUUAAUAGAGUAUAUUAUUUUUUUUAAAAUAUAAAAAUGCCCAGAAAAAUAGACUUUAUUAAAAAAUAAUAAACACCAUAAGAAUAUUUUAAAUUUUUUUUAUACAAGGAAAAAUACUCUAAUUCAAUUUGCUAGCUGUGCCCAGUUAGAUUUCUCAUAAAUGGCCAGUACACUUUUAGCCUUCCCUUCACCAAAACGUAGACCAUUACAAACCUGGAUAGAACCAAAAGAAAUGCAAAAUCAAAAUUGGGCAAGAGUCUUAAUAUAUGCCAUAAAAAUUAAAAAUUAAAAAAUUAAAAAAUUUAGGGUUUUUUUAAAAGCUGUGCACUUGUAUGACUUAAUAUAUGCCUUAUCUUUUUCCUAAAAAGAUAAACCCUAAAUUUUUUAUUUUAAAAAAAAAUAUACUCUAUUAAAAAAUAAUAAACACCAUAAGAAUGUUUUAAAUUUUUUUUAUACAAGGAAAAAUACUCUAUUAAAACAAUAAACACCUUCGUACAAAGAAAAUCACAAUGAUCAAACUUUAAUUAACAAAUCAACUACCAAUAAUAAAAGUGAUCUCAAGUUCAAGUUAUAAAACGAAGGGUUAAUACUUUUUUAGUUAUUUUCAUACUCCAAUCUCACUCAUAUGAUCUCAUCUCAUCUCAAAGGCUUCUCUUCCUUGAACACGCAGCUUCACUCAACCCACUUGAACCCAAGAGUAACCACCAUUAAUUUGAACCACUACAACCUCCACUGCUUCAAUCAAACCCAUUCUCUCACAUCGCAGAAACCUCAUCGACUCGAUUACGCUUGGAUACUCACGUAACUUGAUCUAGUAACCGAACCUAAUCCAAGAGUAUUGAGUACACCUUUAUGUAGACAAUUAUAUUAAACUAAUAUUUUAAAUUUAAAUUGUAUAUCCAUUUUUUAAAUAUAUUUGAAUAUCACUUAUUAUUAUUCUAAUAUACCAAUUUUAUUUUUAUUUUAAAAAGGCCACUUGGAAUGUGGAUGCAUUGUGGGUUAAAUCACAAAUAGGGUCAACACUUUAUUUAUGAAAUUGUGAUUUAUAAAUAUGUUUUGCGCGACGAAUAUCUAUAAUUUCGUAGCGUAAAGAAGUGUUGCGCAACGAUACGAAUAUUUCGUCGCGCAAGGUUGUAUUUUCACUAGGAAAUUAUCGCAACUUGUGCGACGUAAAUGUUAACUUCGUUGCGCGAUGAAGUAUGUCUUUCGUCGCGCACCUUGCGCGACGUACAAACUGCAGUGACGUCGCGCAAACCAUUUACUUUCUCGCGAAACGAAUUUUCGUCGCACAAGUUUUAAACUAUAAAUUAAAUAUCACGAUUUCUAGUAUAUUAGGACACUUUGCACGACGUACAAACUGCAGUGACGUCGCGCAAACCAUUCGCUUUCUCGCGCGAUGAAAAUAUUCGUCGCGCUUUUAAACUAUAAAUUAAGUAUCACGAUUUCUAGUAUAUUAUGACACCUUGCGCGACGUGGAUGUUCUCAUUACGUCGCGCAAACCUCUUGCAAUGUUUUUUUUUUAAGUUAAUUUUUUUAUUUUCUUUAUUUUAAAUAAUUAUUAUAAAAAUUACAGAUGUUACCUUAAUGAACUUAAGUUUAAUAUGAAUUACGAAAAAAAUUCAAAGAUUUCGGUACAAUUGAAAAGUUAAAUGUUUAUAUUUUAAAUUUGAAUUAUUAUUUUAUUCUCCAAUGUGAGACUUAAUUUACACAUUAUAGUUUGUAUAAUAGUUUAAUGCUUGAUUAAAUCAUUAAAUAAGACGGGGUUGUGAGAUCUAAGGGCCCGAUUCUUGAUAUAUUUUUUUUUCAAUGUUUUUUAUUCAUUCAAUUUGAAGAUUUUAAACACAAAAAAGAGAAAACCCUAAUUCUUAUAUUCAUAAAGACCAUUGAAAAUCAAAUAGACAGAUUCAAAUCUGUUUUCAAAUUUAGGUAUAUAUCUAAAUUAAAAUUUAUAUAUAUUAUAUGUUGUAAUUUAAUUCGUGAUUGCAAAUUUUGUGUGCAACUUGAUUUUAAUUUGUCAUUGCCAUAUUUACACUACCAUAAUUAAAUUAUAACAAAUUUCAUUUACUAUGUUUUACAUGGGUAGUCGCUAAUAAAUUGCAUUAUUCAUCAUUUGAACUAUAAUAACCUUCGUUAUCCUCACUAUCAUCACUUUCGUUCUCCCAAUCCUCCUCCUCAUCACUUUCAUUAUUUGGGCCCACUGGAACUUCAUAUCGCGGAAGAUCACCGAGGUCAAUUGUAAUUGACUGAAUCGGUAUUUCGAUUGAAGACACUCCUUGAAGCUGAAACGGUUCUUGUAUAACAUUUGUAUCUCAAAGUGUUUCUGCAUCAUUUUCCAUGAAAGAUUCCAACCGUUGGUUAGUGACGUUGUCGACGUCGUUGUCAGUUGGGCCUAGUUAUGGUAUAGCAUACAUGUUCCUCUGAUCCAUCUACUGAGCAACUUUCCAACUGCUUCCAGCUUUAGGGUCAUCUAGAUACACAAUCUGUCUUGCCAUGUUUGCCAAAUGUAAAGGUCGUCAUCAUACCAAGUUCUGUUAAUGUUCACUGAUAAUAAGUCAUGGUCUAUUUUAACACUUCCCUGCCUAUUUGGGUUUGUAUCAAACCAUCGACACUUAAACAUGAUCACUUGGUAUCGGUCUUUGUAAAGCAAUUGUACAACAGUUGUGAGUUUGCCAUAAAAAUUAAUGUUUGUACUUUCGCUUCCACCUGGGACAUGGACACCGCUAUUUUACGUACACAACUUGUCAUCUCGUGUAGUCCACAAAAACUUGAUGCCGUUAACAUGGCAACCCGAGAAUAAUUCAACGCGAAUCGGGCCGAACGUCAAGUUAUAUAACUCUUCACUGUAAAAGGGUGAAUUCGAUGAUUUCAACUUAUUCACCUAAUAUUAUACAAAAACAUUCACAUGUUAGUUUGAUAACAUUAAAUAAUACUAUAUAUAUAUCAAAUACAAAACACUUAUAACUUACAUAUUUCAAAAACCAUUGUGGAAACAAAUCACGGUGUUUCGUGGCAUACAAAUGUGAUGGAUGUUCUCGCUUCAUCAUCUCUUCAUACUCAUCUAAAUAUGUCAUUAUCUCAUCACAAUUGUUAAGUACGAACCAAUGCGCUACAUCCAUGUCAUUUCUGAAAAACGACCCUCCUCGUACAGGAUCUCCAACGGGUCGUGCGCUUUGGGCAAAAAUAGAAAGUUUCUCAUUUCUCAGACCUCUGUCAUUAUUGCGCUGAGGAUGAUUGAAAGCCGUGUCCACAUCUUUUAAAUACAUUCCAAAGAAAGUAAGCAACUCAUAUUGAACCCAAGCCUCUAUAAUUGAUCUUUCGGGCUUCGCCCUGUUGCGUACAUUUUUUUCAGCUCUCCUAGAAGCCUGCUAAAAUAAAAUGAACCACUACAAAUUAGCGAGCGUGGGAUAAGGAUGCAUAAACAAAUGAUGAGGAUUAUAUACUUUUCUAUUGGAUACAUCCAGCGAUAGUUGACAGGACCAGCGAGCAAUGCCUCUUCUGGCAAGUGAACCAUCACGUGGAUCAUACUUGUGAAGAAAGCUAGAGGGAAUAUCAUCUCGAACUUGCAUAGGACUUGGACAAUGUCAUGGCGCAACUGAUUAAUGUAUGUCUUUCGCAAUGUUUUUGCCGUUAGUUGGGAAAAAAAUCUGGACAACAACAUGAUUGGUUCCACUACAUCUUCUGACAAAAGAUGUCGAAUACCCACAAGAAGUAGGCUUUGCAUAAACACAUGGCAGUCAUGGCUCUUUAGUCCAAUAAAUUUACCCCCGUCAAUAUUAACGCAACACGCAAUAUUAGAAGCAUACCCAUCGGGAAACUUUAUAGAUGAUACAAACUUUAGAAAAUCUUUUUUGUCAUUCGGUUUCAUGGAAAAACAAAUGUCAAUUCCCUUCUAGCUUUAUCACCUUCCCUAUUCAUCCAUAAACCUCUUCGUAUGCCCAUUCUUUCCAAAUCAAGACGAGUUUUGAUCGUGUCCUUUGUCUUACCCUCGAUAUCUAGAAUCGUGCCCAUCAAUGUGUCAAAGACAUUUUUCUCAACAUGCAUAACGUCGAGAUUGUGCCUCAAUUUUAGUUUCGACCAAUAUGGGAGCUCAAAAAAUAUAGGCUUGUGCGUCCAGUUCAAAUGUGUAGAAGGUCUGGUUCGAGUAACUGUUUUCCCGAACGGAGAAAAAUCCAAACGGUUAAGCUGUUCCAAGAUCUCUUCACCGGACCAUUCUCUAGGUCUGAGGCGAUGCUCUGUGUUCUCGUCAAACUCUUUAUCCUUUCUCUGCCACUCGUGGUCCCAUGGCAACCAUCUCCGAUGACCAAGAUAACAAACUUUUUCCGCGUGCCAACCAGAAGUUACAUCUUCCUUGCAUACAGGGCAUGCCAUAUAACUCUUUGUGCUCCACCCAGAAACCAUUGCAUAUGCAAAAAAUCAUUCACAGUCCACAUAACUGCUGCCCGCAAAGUGAACAUCUUCUCAGUAGAUUUAUCGUACGUGUGCACACCGUUUGUCUAUAAAUCCUUGAGCUCAUCAACCAACGGCCUUAAGUAAACAUCGAUUGACUUGUCAGGAUCCUCAAUUAUCAAAAUAGUCAUCAUCAUGUAUUCUUUUUUCAUGCAUUUCCAAGGCGAAAAAUUAUAUGGGAAUACGAAAAUAGGCCAAGUGCUGUGGUGUUGGUUUAGAAUCCCGUACGAAUUGAAUCCGUCAAUGGCAAGUCCCAAUCUUACAUUUCGGGGAUCAGCAGCAAACUCGGGGAAUGUUCGAUCAAACUCUUUCCAUGCCUCCCCAUCUGCAUGAUGCCGCAUCACAUCGUCGUCUACCCGUUUUUCCUUAUGUCAUCUCAUGUAUGUGGCAGUAUGAGUCGACAUAUACAAUCGUUGUAACCUAGGUUUCAAGGACAGAUAACGCAUGAAUUUUUGUGGGAUCUUAAUCGUUCUAUUCUGAGAUGUCAUCUUGAACCUCGACUCUUUGCAUAUAUGGCAUGUAUCCAAUGUUUCAUACUCUUUGUAGAAUAACAUGCAAUUGUUUUUGCAAGCAUGAAUUUUUUUCAUAACCCAAUCCAAGACCAUUCAACAACUUUUGCGCGUGUCUAUGGUCUUCCGGCAAACAAUUGUCCGUCGGAAGCAUUCUCUUGAAAACCCCCAAAAAGUAAUCGAAACACAGAUUCGACAUACGAUACUUUAUUUUUCCGUGCAUUAGCUCCACAAUGGCCGUGAGAAUGGAAAAGCUCUCGCACCCUGGGUAUAACUCUUAGUUUGCAUUUUUUAACAGUUGUUCAUAUUGUUCGAACUCUGCACUAUCCAUUGGGGUAGGCACGUCAUCUUCCCCUUCCUGAUUGAUGUUGGUCGAUGCAAAUAGAAAAGCAUCAUUUAUAAUAUCAAUGACUUGUUCAUUAGGAUCCACAAUAGGUUCAACAUUGUCCACCAUUGUGGCAUUUGAAGAUGAAGCAUUGUCUAAUUGUUCCCAGUGAAGGUUCCAAAUGCUAUAUGUCUCAAUCAUUCCAUUCCUUACUAAAUGAAAUCCAACAUUUUCAAUUGUCUCCCACAACGUGUUGUUACACCUCCUACAAGGACAACGGAUUCUAGUUGCACGCGGGUUGUGUCUAUGUGCAAACUCAAUAAAAUCCUCGAUUCCAUCCAAGUAUUCGUAUGUGCAUCUAUUCGGUUUAUGUAUCUACCUUAUACUCAUAACUCCUGAAACCACAAUCACAACAACUUCAUACGAAGUUAUAAUGUCACCUUAUGCCUCCGGUAAGGGCCCUAUCCCAUUCAGGAAUGCAUAGUCCUGUCACGUAACCUACAGCUACAUGAGAUUAGAUUUCGACGUGGAUGAAUUUCGGCAGCAUCUCGAUACAGUUCUUGAGGUGGGCAUAGGUAUAAAUACCUACAUACCACCCCAAGAACGUACCGAGAUGACACUGAAAUCUCCACAAUCGAAACCUAAUCCUGUAGCUGUAGAUUACGUGACAAUACUAUGUAUUACCAAACUGUCCAAAUAAUGGGACAAUUUAAGAAUUAAUUGGACCGCAGUCAUACUUUACGCAUUCAUGCACGAAAUCCAACUAAUCUCGAAUGGGAAACUAAGUGUUACUAAAAAAUAAUAAUAAAAGUACGAAGUUAAUUUCAAUUAACUUCGUACAUCACAAUACAUUGUGCUACGUCACGCAUAAUUUCACAACAUAAUAUAAAUAUAAUUUCACAACAAAAAAUAUAAAUAUAACAAACUAAGUUCAACAUAAUGUAAUUAAUUUAAUAUAAAAUGAAUAAAAUACCUUCUCAAUCGUUCUCCACAAUUGCUAAUUACAAAUAUGUAUAAUGAGAACAAAAUUAAUAAAGUUAGUAUGAAUUUACAUUAGUGCUUUUAAACAAACGACAAAUAAUACUUACCCAAUGAGCGUAUUGAAUUCCCAGCAGAGGCAGCAACACAGACAAAGAGAGGUUCCAAAUUUUUUUUGCAUUCUGCCUCUGCAAUGGCAGAAUCCAGAGAUGUAGACGAAGGAUUUUGCGCGACGAAACAACAUUUUCGUCCCGCAAAACCAGUUUUUCGUCGCAUAAAAUCACUUUUUUCGUUGCGUAAGCACCUGUCAACAUCGGGCUUAUGCGCUACGAAAUUUCCGAUUCGUCGUGCAACCUUUCGUCGAGCAAAAUCUAAACGGCGUCGCGCAUACACAAAUUUCUGUCGCACAAGAACAUGCUGACAUCAAACUUUAGGCGACGAAAUGUAUUUUUGUUGUGCAAGUAUUUGGCGCCAAAAAAAAGAUAUCGCACAUUUUUCUGUCCACCUUUACGUGACGAAAUAUGAAACCGUCGUGCUAGGAUAUCUUUCGCGACGAUCAAUAUCGUCGCGCAAAUGUUUGGCGCUAAAAAAAAUAAAGCCGGGUUUUUCUUCCCUCACUUUGCGUGAGAACUCAUUUGUUUGUCGUGCUAAGUUUCUUUGCGCGACGAAUUUUUGUUUCCGUCGCUGAAGUGUAUUUUGCGCGACGAAUUAAAGAAACAUAACAACGUAGAUUUAAAACAUAGCCCACAAAAAAUUAAAGCAAACCCAAUAAGAUUCAAAGGAUUUAAGGAAAACCCAAUUAUAAUAAUAAAAGGAAAGAAGUUUUACCCAAGGCAUCCAAUUGUUGCUUCUUGGUAGAACCAAGUGGUCUGCCUCUGGCUUUCUUGAUGGAAGUGGGUGAAGCAGAACCUGCAAAUAGAGGAGGAUGAGGGGGAGGAGUUGAGCUUUGAGGUUGAACUUGGUGGUUGAUGAUGGAGUUGAGCUUUGAGGUUGAAUGAGAACGAGAAUGAGAGCUUGAUAGGGAGAGGGAGAGAGAUGAUGAGAGGGAGUUGCAGCUAAGGUUAGGAAAUGAAGGAAUGAGAGAGGAGAGAUAGAGUAGAGUCCAUGAGUUUUAGUUUUGGAGUCCAAUCAAGUAUCGAAGGGUACAUGGUAAACUUUUCAAAUAACCACUCAAGCCUUGCCACAUGUAAAUUAAAUUAAACAAAUAAUAAUUUAAUUUAUAAUUAGUCCGGUUUGGUUGAUGACAUAUUACAAAACUCCUAAAUCGCACUGAACUAAACCAAAUUGGUUCGGUUUGAUCUGAUUUUUCAAACUAUUGACCUUUUUUCUUCUUCAAUCAAAAUCAAACCAAACAAAACUAAUAUAAUCGAUUCUGCUGGAUUGAUGCCCACCCCUAUAUGCAAAGAUGCUAAUAAUAUUUAUUUAACGAUAAACUAGCCCCUUGGCACACACUCAUGCAUGUGCCAAUUGGUUUUCUUUUUUCUUUUUUAUUUUAUUUUUAGAAUUAAGAAAAGAUAAUAUGGGUACUUAUGUUCCAUAAAAGUAGCACCUAUUAUCUGAUUUUGUUUUUAAUUUUAAUUUUUUAAAUAUGAAAAAUUGUGAAUUUACCAUAUUAUUUUUAUUUAAUUAAUAAUUUUAAUUCUUAAUGUUUAAAUUAACUAAGGUCAUUUUCUGGUAUUUUGAAUGUUUCACCAUUCUCUUCCUUUUGCUUUAUAUAUAUAGAUUUAACUGAAAUUGUUCUAAAAAAGACACGUGCACCAUUUUGACAUUUGAGCCAAUGUUUUUAGGGUUAUCUACUGUAGACGUCCCUGAACUAGGGCCUCAGUUACAAUUGGGUCUGUGAACUUUUUUUUGAGGCAAUUACAUCCGUUAACUCUAUAAAUAGUUCCAAUUGGGUCCUACCGUCCAAGUCUGUCAAUUUUUUCUGUCAAAAUAAGGGGUAAAAGCAUCCUUUUGAGCUGUAGAGGUAAUUGUUUUAACGGUUUUUAACUGUAGACGUCCCUGAACUUUGCUCCCAGUUGCAAUUGGGUCCGUGAAUUUAUUUUUGAGGCAAUUACAUCCUUUAACUCGACAAGUAGUUCCAAUUGAGUCUUGUCAUAACAGAGUAAAAGAGCUAAAAACUUAGUAACCACAAAAGAUGGGUUUGAGGCAAUUGAAGACUGACGGCUCGUGAAGAACUUCUUGAUCUUCUCCAUGCCGGCGGUCGUGGUUUCGAAGGUGUUGUUGGAUUUGGCCACGUCGACCAACGUCAUGGUGUAGCUGGCUGCUGCGGUGGCGUUCAUUCUGGCUCCAAGGGCGCCGUCGGUGUUACGGAGGUAGUGGAGGAGGAGAGCUUAAGGGGAUGAGGUUGCAAGUGGGUUCUGGCUUCUGCGGGUUGGGAGAUCUGGGGGGGGGGUUGUAAGUUGCAGGUUAGGUUGGGAUCUGGGUUUUGAGGGGGUAGGCUAAGGAGGAGGGUGAAUGAGCUGUAGAAGAGACAGAGAGAUAGAGAGGGAGAGCUAAGAGAGAGAGGGACAAAUUCUGUUACGGUAUGACUCAAUUAGAACUACUUGUCAAGUUAAAAGAUGUAAUUGCCUAAAAAAAGUUCAUGGACCCAAUUGCAACUAUGAACAAAAUUCAGGGACGUCUACAGUUAAAAACCGUUAAAACAAUUACCUUUGCAACUCAAAAGGACGCUUUUACCACUCAUUUUGACGGACAAAUUGACGGACUUGAAUAACAAAAUCUAAUUGGAACAACUUGUAAAGUUAAAAGAUGUAAUUGUCUAAAAAAAAAAAAAAAGUUCACGAACCAAUUGCAAGUGAGGGCAAAGCCCAAGAAGGUCUACAGUUAAAAACCCAUGUUUUUAAUAAAAAAACCCGAAGGUCACUUUCGGCAUUGCAGUACUCUCUUUAUAAUACUAGCUCCCUGGGAGGCUGAAACCCUAAAAUUGCUUUGUUUUCACGCCGAGCAAAAUGUUCCACUGUUUAUUUCUUACGGAGUCUUUUUUUUUCUUCCUUAGAAAACAAAUUUAAAAAUUGUUGAUUCUUUUGGCUGAAAGAUGGUUUUUGAUUUACAUUAUCUUUCGGUUCAAGUAUGAUUCCCGAUGAUGAACAAAUUGAAAAAGCUAAAGAGCGGUAAGCGUGGUUGUUUUCUUCAUCAGCCUAUACUCACCACCACUGUAACCUCUCUCUCUCUCUCUCUCUCUCUCUCUCUCUCACACUCUCUCUCUCUCUCUCAUACAUACAUACAUAUAUAUAUAUAUAUAUACGCAGUGCUGUUGAGUAUACAGGCUGUUGAUGAACGCCACUUGCUUCAAACCGUGAAUGAUUCGUUAAAAGCUAUGAGAUCUGAGGGCAUUUUGAUAGAUCUCACUCUAUACAACUACCCAUUCGGGGAUUUAGCCUUAAACGUGGUUAAAAUUUGCGGAACUAGUUACUUUUACACUUGCAUGUUCAUUUCUGCCCCAAAUUUCCUUGCUUUCAUAGUUAUGCUUUUGCUUUGCCACUGAUUGUUUAUACUGCUCUACUUUUGAAAUGGAUUUUCGUAAGAACCCAUUUUUGUUACUGCGUGUUAGGCAUUUGAUGUUAAGUUGGCCCAAGAUCUGCUAAUGUCCGUGACUAUGGUUUGUAAACUACAGUGGCAUAUUUUUUUAAGUGGAUUUUUGUUUUUUCAUUUUGUCAUAUGUAGUGGGUUCCUGGUAUUGUUAAGUUGGAUUGUGGGGGAAUGAUGAUACAUGCACUGGUCUCUGAGCAGUUUGUAACUGCGAUUAUUGAUGGAAAUGCAGCCUAGAAAUAUGACCCUUGUAGAAAUCUUUAACCUUGCUGUGAUAAAGGUGUUCCAACUAACCCAACGUUGAUAGUAGUGAUGCUGUGUUAUGAUAAGAUUUGCUGUCUUUUUGUCUGUUCUGUGUAUCUCCAUGAUCUACUUUUAGAUGGCCGUUCUUUUUUGAGUUUUUAACAAUGUUUUCUAGUGUAGCUGAUUUGCUGCCACAGCAAGAUGGUCCAAUUUUUAUUAGCCUAAUGAUGGAAAACUCGUUUUUUGAGCGGUUCUGUGGAUUAUUGUUAGGAGCCUUUUCUAUCAUUUUUGCUGUACUAGCCAUUAUCAUCAUCAAAAACACCAUCCUCUGUCUGUCUGUCUGUCUCUCCCUCUCUCUCUCUCUCUCUCUCUCUCUCUCUCUCUCUCUCUCUCUCUCUCUCUCUCUCUCUCUCUCUCUCUCUCUCUCUCUCUCUCCCUGGCUUGUAUGGUUGAAGAUGUGAAGAGGCUCGUAGUGAUAAUCCAGUGGUUAACCGUCAAUGACCAGAUAUAGCUAUGAGAUCUGAAGGCUUGUCCAGAGACAUUUGUUCCUCCUAAGAUAUGUGAUUGAAUCUUAAAUCAUUUUUGUUCCUCAGUUAUUCUAUGGUUGUAUUUUCUUAGUUUCCACAUAUUUAUUACACUUCUCCUUUAUUACAUCCUUUAUUUACCAUUGCAUCGAAGUUGCGACUGCGUUUCGUUGUAGUAGUGAUGCUGUGUUAACGAUCAGAUCUACUCUUUUGUCUAUUCUGUGUCUCCAUGAUAUAACUGUAGAUGCCCACUGGUUUUUGUUUUUUUUUUAAGAAUGUUUUCUAGUGUAGCUAUUUUGCUGCCUCAGAAAUAUGGUUCAAUUUUUAUUAGCCUAAUGAUGGAAAACUCAUUUUUGGAGCGGUUCUGUGGAUUAUUGUUAGGAGCCUUUUCUAUCAUUUUUGCUUACUAGCCAUUAUCAUCAUCAUAAACACCAUCCUCUAUCUAUCCAUCUCUCUCUCUCUCUCUCUCUCUCUCUCUCUCUCUCUCUCUCUCUCUCUCUCUCGCUCUCUCUCUCUCUCUCCCUCCCUCCCUCCCCCCUGGCUUGUAGUGUUGAAGAUGUGAAGAGGCUCAUAGUGAUUAUCCAGUGGUUAACUGUCAAUGACCAGACAUAGCUAUGAGAUCUGAAGGCUUGCCCAGAAACAUUUGUUUCUUUUAAGAUAUGUUUAUUGAAUCUUAAAUCAUUUUUGUUCCUUAGUUAUUCUAUGGUUGUAUUUUCUUGGUUUCCACAUAUUUAUUAUGCUCCUCCUUUAUUAUGUCCUUUAUUUACCAUUGCUUCGAAGUUGCGACUGCAUUUCAUUGUAGUAGUGAUGCUGUGUUGACGAUCAGAUCUACUCUUUUGUCUAUUCUGUGCGUCUGCAUGAUAUAACUGCAUAUGCCCACUCGUUUUUGUUUAUUGUUUUUAACCAUGUUUUCUAGUGUAUCUAUUUUGCUGCCUCAGGAAGAUGGUUCAAUGUUUAUUAGCCUAAUGAUGGAAAACUCAUUUUUGGAGCGGUUCUGUGGAUUAUUGUUAGGAGCCUUUUCUAUCAUUUUUGCUGUACUAGCCAUUAUCAUCAUCAUAAACACCAUCCUCUCUCUCUGUCUCUCUGUCUCUCUGUCUCUCUCUCUCACUCUCUCUCUGUCUCUCUCUCUCUCUCUGUGGCUUGUACGGUUGGAGAUGUGAAGAGGCUCGUAGUGAUAAUCCAGUGGUUAACCGUCAAUGACCAGAUAUAGCUAUGAGAUCUGAAGGCUUGCCCAGAGACAUUUGUUCCUUUUAAGAUAUGGUUAUUGAAUCUUAAAUCAUUUUUGUUCCUCAGUUAUUCUAUGGUUGUAUUUUCUUGGUUUCCACAUUUUUUACACUCCUCCUUUAUUAUGUCCUUUAUUUACCAUUGCAUCAAAGUUGCGACUGCGUUUUGUUGUAGUAGUGAUGCUGUGUUAACGAUCAGAUCUACUCUUUUGUCUAUUCUGUGUCUCCAUGAUAUAACUGUAGAUGCCCACUCGUUUUUGUUUUUUUUAAACUGUGUUUUCUAGUGUAGCUAUUUUGCUGCCUCAGGACGAUGGUUCAAUUUUUAUUAGCCUAAUGAUGGAAAACUCAUUUUUGGAGCGGUUCUGUGGAUUAUUGUUAGGAGCCUUUUCUAUCAUUUUUGCUUACUAGCCAUUAUCAUCAUCAUAAACACCAUCCUCUAUCUAUCCAUCUCUCUCUCUCUCUCUCUCUCUCUCUCUCUCUCUCUCUCUCGCGCGGGCGUGUAGAGAUGAAGAUAAAAAGAGGCUCAUAGUGAUAAUCCAGUGGUUAAAUGUCAAUGAA